Non-coding RNA from Aspergillus homomorphus CBS 101889, 88 nucleotides. Lineage: Eukaryota; Fungi; Ascomycota; Eurotiomycetes; Eurotiales; Aspergillaceae. The record is from the annotation of a RefSeq genome assembly.
GUCAGUGUGGCCGAGUGGUUAAGGCGAUUGACUCGAACCUUAGUAGGUUUCUAACCUUCUAAGGAGAUAUCAAUUCCAUUCGUGGGCG